UGGGGAAUAUUGGACAAUGGGCGCAAGCCUGAUCCAGCCAUGCCGCGUGAGUGACGAAGGCCUUAGGGUUGUAAAGCUCUUUUAGCGGGGACGAUAAUGACGGUACCCGCAGAAUAAGCCCCGGCUAACUUCGUGCCAACAGCCGCGGUAAUACGAAGGGGGCUAGCGUUGUUCGGAAUUACUGGGCGUAAAGCGCACGUAGGCGGAUGUGCCAGUCAGGGGUGAAAUCCCGAGGCUCAACCUCGGAACUGCCUCCGAUACAGCACGUCUCGAGUCCGGAAGAGGUGAGUGGAAUUCCUAGUGUAGAGGUGAAAUUCGUAGAUAUUAGGAAGAACACCAGUGGCGAAGGCGGCUCACUGGUCCGGUACUGACGCUGAGGUGCGAAAGCGUGGGGAGCAAACAGGAUUAGAUACCCCCGUAGUCCCUGAGCGGGCUGGCAAGGCGCAU
RNAcentral lists this ribosomal RNA (447 nucleotides) under uncultured bacterium. RNAcentral's name for it is "bacterial SSU rRNA". It matches the Rfam family "Bacterial small subunit ribosomal RNA", at positions 355 to 825 of the family's 1533-position model. The record is from RNAcentral.